UGUGCAUUUCAAUUUCAGCCCAUUGGCUUAGGCUGUAUAUUCUUGGCUCCGUUUCUGAGCAGGCGCCUCCAGAGAGCCCUCACUGUAAGCCGGCCAUAACGAGGUGCCUGCCGUUAGCAGUGUCGAUAGCGCAGAGCUCCCGCUCUCCUCCAUCCCUCCACCCUGUCCCCAAAUAGUUCUGCUCAGCAAAUGAAAACAAACACUGGGAUGGCCCUGAGAGCACAGCAGUGGUGCCCCAAGGCAAGGAAUCACCACAGACCCCUGAGGCUGGUGUGGAGGAGGAGAAGCCAGAAAACAGCACCAGAGCCAAUGAUUUGUGAAAGAGUUUCCAUGGAAAUAAGUAGGAGGCAUUACUUUUGGAGUGACCUAUGUAGCAUGGAAUUUCUGCUGGGAAUCAGAGUGGAUGAAUGCAACUUUCCUUCAUCAGGUUUCUUGUCUGGAGUCUCACAAGAAAUACAUUUCAAAAUGAAAGUCUACAGUAUGUAUGUGCAUAAAGUUUUCCAUAAAUAUGUACUAGUACUAUUUUCUUGCAUGAAUGUUUAUGACACGGAAUCAUGAAGACUUUCAGCAUUGGAGAAAAGGAUACGCUUUUUAAUACUGAGCAAAAUUGAAUAGAAAAUAUUACGCUGUUCAACCAACUGUGUAUUAUUUUAGUGUACAUUUAUUCAGGAAGAGCUACUUAGGAGUCUUAUGAAAACCUAGAUUCCUGUGGCCAAGCCAUCCAACCUAGGAAGGUGGAAACACUGGGACUCCAUGACAUGGCUUCAUACAGCAUAUGAACGUGCAGUUAUAGGUUUGAUGUGGCAAAAGCUGAAUUUUUCAACAUUUUCAUUUUUAUGCAUUCCAAAAUUAAGGUAACAGAAUUCUGACUUGCAUUCAAGCACUGUUGUGGUUAUUCUGUAGAAUUUAAAUGAGCCUUAGUGUCUUUCUCACAUGCAGCGCCAUCAGCUGUCUUUAAAAUACCAGGUAUUCCUUCAGGAAGGUAGUAGAGGGGCACUGUGGAGACUCCAUGCAUGUUAACCCCUCUGUCCACAUGCUAUUAUGGCUGAAAGGCCACCCUCACGUUUCACUGGAGCCUUCUCUUCUCCAGGCCAAACAGCUCCAGCUCUCUUAGUAUGUCCAUCCCUUGGAUCUUGUUUGUGGCCUUCCUCUGGAUGUGCUGUAGCCAGUCUGUGUCUCUCCUGUACUGAAGACUCCACAUCUGGACACAGUUCUCCAGGUGAAAUCUCACCAGCACAGAGUAGAGGGGCAGGACCACCUCCUUCAGCCUGCUGACCACACUUCUACACACUGUGUUUAACCCACAGUGGGACUCAGAAGUGUGAGGUUAGCUGUUUGGUGGUAAAAUCCAUGGAAAGGGACUGCCAAGAACAGCAGUGUUCUCAAGUGACUCUUCCCCAGUCACGUAAAUGUUCACAUAAACCUUAAGCAUCCUGGGAGCCCAAAUGAAACAUGCAUGGUGCUCUCUGUGACUCCAGCCAUCCUCUCACAACAUAAUCCCAGUGAAAAAUCAACCCCUAUCAGGAUGGCUUGUCCUGCAGUGUGCCUGCAAUACUACAGAAUCAUUUCUGCUGGUGGUUUCACCAGAUACACCCAGAGGAGACUCAUGGCUGCCAGGGAGCCUGAGCAACAGGAGGUUGGGAAAGGCUGCAGCAUCCCUUUGCAGGAGGAUCUGCAGAUACUCAAACCCUUUUCUGUGAGCUGUAUCAAUCAAUACAUGAACAGAACUAAACUUUCAUCCGUGUGUUUUGUGUACGUGGCAGUCAGCGUUUAAAAGGAAGAGGACUGGAUCUGUUUUUUGAGUUAGAUUGAGGAGGGGGUUGGGGUGGGAUCUGCAAGAGAUGGAUGCUGUUUUAAAGCUUUUCUCCAGUAAUGGUGAUAACAAGUGACGUAAGACAUUCCUUAAGAUUGAUGAUUAAUCCUAAUGAAUAUGUUGCAUACAUAUGUUUCACAGCUGUCAUUAGGCUUCCAUUUUCACCACUCUUCUCCUAUUCCCACUCCCAUCCAUGCCUGCAAUCUGCAACCUCUUAUUUCCUGUAGGUAUUUUCAUAGAGAAACAGACAGGUAAUACAUGGUAAUGAUCCCAGUGUCAGACCAUAAGCCAUGAAACUGUCAGUUCAUAUCUUGUCUGACAGUCAUUGACAGCUUGCUUCUUCAAUUUUACUAGGAUUAAUAUUCUUCACAUGUUUUAUUUAUGUUUACUGAUCUAGACGCAGUGAAUUUUUAGAGACAUUUUCAUGUAAUAAAUCCCUGCUGAAAGUUAAGUCUACA
Molecule: long non-coding RNA, 2271 nt
Organism: Coturnix japonica (Japanese quail)
Lineage: Eukaryota; Metazoa; Chordata; Aves; Galliformes; Phasianidae
Source: Ensembl